RNAcentral lists this long non-coding RNA (1874 nucleotides) under Gallus gallus (chicken). Lineage: Eukaryota; Metazoa; Chordata; Aves; Galliformes; Phasianidae. The record is from RNAcentral.
ACCCAUAUGUGCUGGCUGUACGUUCAGAUAAGCCCUGAGUAAACAACAAAGGGGAAUGUCCCAUACCCUCUCAUUAAUAAAAAGGCGUAAGACAAGCACCAAUUGGGAGGCUGGUCACGUGUUGCAUGCCUGCCAAGAGACCAUUCAGAUGAGGGAAGGGAGGAGAUAGGGAUCCAGACAAGAAAGGACUGUGCCAAAAAGAAGGGUUUCCAGGAAGCAGAAGUGGUCUUGGAGAGAAAACAGGGGUCUCAAAAAGGAAACAGUGAAGAUCCUGGCUGGAAGGAAGAUCCUGGAAGAGAAGGAGAUGGGUGGAGACCAGUGCCAGCAGACCUUGCCCCAGGACUGCUACCUGGAGCAGCUGCCCACUGCCAGCUAACACAGCUCCCUGCUGGAUUUCCCCAGGCCAGCAGCAACCUCCCUGCUGGGAAGAUGAAGUAGAUGAGUGAGAAGAUGCUGCAGAUCUGGGUCCAGAUGAAUGCUGAGAUGCAAGUUCAACAGAUCGAGACUCACGGGGAGACUUCCUGCUAGGAAGUUCUUCCUGAAUGCUUGAAUUACUGCUGCUUGCAACACUAAAAAGAAACAGACUGACAGUGAUUAACUGGGGACUUUCAACUCCUUUGUUACAUUGCGUACAAGAAGUUUGCAAGAAAGGACUAAAACCACACCAAACAGCUCAUCUUGAAAAACGCCAAUUCUGAAAUUAAAAACUUCAACAGCUAAGACAUUGCACAGUCCUAAUUUGAAGUAGUGGAAGCAUUUUAACACUUUCAAAUCUUAUUUCCUUCAUAACUUUUACAAGCACUAACCAAUUAAGCAUUCUAACAGCCACACAAGAGCUAAUUUUCACUCAGCUACGAAGGGUAAGCUACCUGCCAGACCAAGGCAGAACAGAAACCAGGCAAAAAUUGGGAAUAUUCCACUCUAACCUUUGCAUCUAAAAGUCAGGUUGCUUACCACAUUAACUGCAAGAUCAUAAAGAAAUAUCUGACCGCUUUCAGUAGCAUUACACUACAGCAUACCAGGAAAGAUGUGCAGUGUAUUGUAAAACAAAAUUUGCAUCAGCCACAUUGUCUCAAAUGUGCAUUUUGAUUUUUCUAGGAAGACAAACACAGUUACCUGAGGUCACGUGCAAGCUUUUUGUCUGUUAAAGUGCUGCUCCCUGGUGAGGAGGCAAAGUCAUCUUCAUAAGAAACAACGCUCUCUGGAGGGCUCAGGGUAGGGAGCAAAGGGCGCAGAAGGGAAGAUCCUCCAUUUGAUCUUCCAUCAAACACUAGAGACAAAAAUAAUUCUCAAUACAACGUGCAUCAAGUGAGUAAAUAAAGCUGCAGAGGUCAAAAUGCUUCUAACCACAAUGAGCUCAAAAUGUUUCCUUUUGAAUACAAUAAACAUCAGGAGAUAAACAGUACAGGUAUCUCACAGCAGUUUUAACACAAAACAGGCUCUUUCCAUAAAUUACUGAAUACUUCAUUAACAAACUCCAGCCAAAACCCUUUUGAAGAACAUACUCCUUGAGAGUCAUCAGCAGCAAGUCUCAACGCAGUCAUGUUUAAAGCUAAGGGACAUUUAAAAAAAACUCAGAUAAAAACAAACUUCUCAAAAAAGGCUCAAAAAUGAAGAUCUGAGUGAAAAGGAAAGAGGACAAACACACCCAUAAACUUCCCUCAAAAGUGGGGAUUUUUUUCCUUGUGCAAUUAGGCAGGGGGGGAAAAAAAAGGGAAGAAAGGGAGGGAAUCAUUUAUCCUCCAAAAGUUAAAGGAAAACAUUACACAGAUUAAUGUUUGCUAUAUCUCAAAGCAAUACAUCUUGACGCACGCCCCUUCUUUGUGAACUAUCAAAUAAAAGGAAUAAUAAAAUCGAAAAGUUUUUCAAAAGGC